UCCGCACAACGUCAAACCAGUGACUGAUAUCCAAGUGGUCACCUCUCUUGGGCCUUCAUCAUUUUUCCAUUUUCCCAGCGGCUGCCUCCUGCACGUUGUACUACAGUGGAGGACAGAGAUGCACGGGGCAUCCGAGCAGAUGUCUUGCUCAGCCAAGAUUUGUCCGGGUCGCCCACAGCUGGGUCCACGUUAGCCGUUAACAGGCUUCUCUAGAUGGUAGUUGACCAAGAGAGUUCAGUGUGCAAGUCUGGGAGCGGAAGGGCCCCAGGUUUGAGUGACACGGGGAAACCUGACCUCUUUGGCCUCAAUUUUGUCAUCUGUAAGAUGGGGAUUACAAAGUAAGGAGAUGGGGAACCUGCCUCAUGGGGUGAUGCGAAGGCAGCGUGAGAUCCUGCAGAGGAAGUGCUCAGCCCAGGCUCAUUUUCCUUUCCUGAACACCUCCAACGUCUACCAGGAGAUCACCUUCAAGCCCUCAGCACUGCCCGGGCCCAGAAUUAAUAACACACCGUGAGACGGAAAAACCGCGAAUGUCUGACAUCUGGGUGUGUUAAAGGAGCAUCAUUAAGUCUCUCAGAAUUAUUGCUCCUGUGCAGACUCCGGGGCCAGAAGAAAACCCAGAGACCCCCUGCUCCCCCUGAGGUCCGGAGAGACAAGGACACUCACUGGCCACCCAAAGGGACGGUCCCCGAUGCCCUCCAAACAUUUGGGACCUUCCUGCACCUCAACUUGCUCACACAGGACAAAACUGAGCAUCUCACAGGUGAAUCCAAGGGAAAGACCGAGAAUAAAACAGGAAACCAGUUUUCUGUCCUUCCUCGCUCCUUCCUUGAUGUUCAUGAUUUCAAGGACAAACUUUAUCAAGGUCAAAUAGUUUCCUCAGGAAAUUUUUUCUAGUACAUUUUCCCACUGAGGAGUUCCCACUGUGGCACAGUGGGUUAAGAAUAUGACUGCAGAGGCUCAGGUUGCUGCAGAGGUGUGGGUUCAGUCCCUGGGCAACUGUAGUUGGUUAAGGAUCCAGCAUUGCUGCACCUGUGGCCUAGUUCGUUGCUGCAGCUCGGAUUCAGUCCCUGGCCUGAGAACUUCCGUCUGUCACAGAUGUGGCCACGAAAGUAAAAAAAAAAAAAAAUUUCCCUUCAGAGGCCUCCUCUCAGUCCCUUUCCCAGUUCAGGAAGAGCAACGUCUAGAAGUCUGCCUCAAAAUGUACUUUUCCUGGAGUUCCCAUUGUGGCUCAGCAGUAACAAACCCAACUAGUAUCCAUGAGGAUGAGGGUUCGACUCCUGGCCUCACUCAGUGGGUUAAGGAUCCGACGUUGCCGUGAGCUGUGGUGUAGGUCACAGACUCGGGCUCGGAUCCAGUGUGGCUGUGGCUGUGGUGCAGGCCGGCAGCUGCAGCUCCGAUUCAACCCCUGGCCUGGGAACCUCCAUAUGCGGCGGGUGUAGCCCUAAAAGGCCAAAGGAAAAAAAAAUGUUCUUUUCCUGAGACACUGCAGACUCUCUCGAGGUCUUUUUUGGCAACCCCAGCUUAACCUGGCACUUCUUGCAAAGGGUCACCUCACAGCUGCUAGCAGUUCUUUCUCGGAAUUAACGAUCUCACCAGCAACCAAAGGCCCUUUUCCAAGGGCUCUGGUGGGAGCUUUCCUCCAGGAAGGAGAGGCCGGGGAGAAAGAGGCCUGGAGGCAGAAGUGGCACCCCCGGGCCAUCCCCUUCCCUCUGGCGUCGGUGGAGGGGAAGGGCAGCCGCCAGGCCUAGCUGCCUCCCUCUCUUUCCCACAAGAAAGGGGGUGUCUCAGGCAGUCUCCUUUCCCUGGCCUCUGGGAUGGGCCCGAGGAGGCAGUGGUCAUACAGGCAAAGGCCCCUGCGGAGAAUAGAAACGAAGGAACCGCGUCUGAUGGCUGGGCUCCCGAGAAGCACGCCUCGGAAGACAAACACAGCGCCUCGGAAGGGAGACGCAGGCGGCAGCCAAACCCAGGCCUCCUCCGGGCCCCUCGCGGGAGGCGACGCGCCUGGAAACCCAUCAUGGCGUCGAGGGGGCCCCUCUCCGUCGUGAAAACGUCUCCGCAGAGAGGAAAAUUGUUCUGAAUGAACCAACUCAGGAACUCAAUUUUGAAACUGUUUUCUUAAGUCCUAUUGAAACGGGAGGUCUUAGGCCUGCACAAUAAAUCAGUUUAUGAAAAU
Molecule: long non-coding RNA, 2173 nt
Filed under: Sus scrofa (pig)
Lineage: Eukaryota; Metazoa; Chordata; Mammalia; Artiodactyla; Suidae
Description: lncRNA (ENSSSCG00060062093.1)
Source: RNAcentral